UACGUAGGGGGCGAGCGUUGUCCGGAAUUAUUGGGCGUAAAGGGCUCGUAGGCGGCUUGGCAAGUCGAUCGUGAAAGCCCGGGGCUUAACCCCGGGAGGCCGGUCGAUACUGCCAUGGCUUGGGUCCGGUAGAGGAGAAUGGAAUUCCCGGUGUAGCGGUGAAAUGCGCAGAUAUCGGGAGGAACACCAACAGCGAAGGCAGUUCUCUGGGCCGGUACCGACGCUGAGGAGCGAAAGCGUGGGGAGCAAACAGG
RNAcentral lists this ribosomal RNA (254 nucleotides) under uncultured bacterium. RNAcentral's name for it is "partial 16S ribosomal RNA". It matches the Rfam family "Bacterial small subunit ribosomal RNA", at positions 524 to 776 of the family's 1533-position model. The record is from RNAcentral.